GUGGGGAAUCUUAGACAAUGGGCGCAAGCCUGAUCUAGCCAUGCCGCGUGAGCGAUGAAGGCCUUAGGGUUGUAAAGCUCUUUCGCUGGGGAAGAUAAUGACUGUACCCAGUAAAGAAGCCCCGGCUAACUCCGUGCCAGCAGCCGCGGUAAUACGGAGGGGGCUAGCGUUGUUCGGAAUUACUGGGCGUAAAGCGCGCGUAGGCGGAUUGGAAAGUUGGGGGUGAAAUCCCGGGGCUCAACCUCGGAACUGCCUUCAAAACUCCCAGUCUUGAGUUCGAGUGAGGUGAGUGGAAUUCCGAGUGUAGAGGUGAAAUUCGUAGAUAUUCGGAGGAACACCAGUGGCGAAGGCGGCUCACUGGCUCGAUACUGACGCUGAGGUGCGAAAGCGUGGGGAGCAAACAGGAUUAGAAACCCGAGUAGUCC
This 425-nucleotide ribosomal RNA is filed under the name uncultured bacterium. RNAcentral describes it as "partial 16S ribosomal RNA". It matches the Rfam family "Bacterial small subunit ribosomal RNA", at positions 354 to 796 of the family's 1533-position model. The record is from RNAcentral.